Hevea brasiliensis (rubber tree) is the source of this 2765-nucleotide long non-coding RNA. RefSeq lists it as uncharacterized. The record is from RefSeq and is a predicted model, not a curated record. The transcript has 2 exons. Lineage: Eukaryota; Viridiplantae; Streptophyta; Magnoliopsida; Malpighiales; Euphorbiaceae.
CUAUUCCGACUAACCACAGGGACCAAACUGUAAUUACAAAAUGCCUGGUAUUCGUCCUUCCCUGCUAUUUCGUGCCAACCAAACAGAACUGUGAAGUGCGGAAGAUCAAUCUUUUUCGUGGCAGCGAGAACCGAAGAUAAGCGAUGGUGAUUCGAUUUCGAAAGGAAAUGGUUUUGAUUUGAUGAAUGAAUUCGAGCUCAUUUUGGAGUUCGAUCCUCUGAUAUAAGCAAAUAUCGUGCUUAUAUGCAUUCAUGGAGGCAGACAAUAUAAGAGUCUUGAGAAUUUGCCUGGUGCAUCUGGUGAUGAGAUUGAUACGCGUAGGUAUUCAUCUCUUGAAAGUGAGGUCAUGAAGCAUAGCAAGGCGCUUUGGUUGCUAAGCUGUGAUUUUGGCACUGCAUCUGCAUGGCGGUGGUUGAUCAAGAUGAUUACUGGAAAAUGUCAGCUAUCAACAGACUGCAGGGAAAGAAUCUGAGCUAGUGGAAAAAUUAGCUGAGAUGUAAAUUCAGUUCAGGAAUUGAACUAUUAAUUAAUGAAGAUUCAAAAACUUUUCAUAGUUUUAGUUAAUAUUAUAUUCUCAUAUCAGUUGCAUUUUUUGUUCAUGUUACAGCACCCUUUGCUAGGACAUCACCAAUAGGCUAAAUAACUGCAGACUUUCAAUGAUAGUGGUUAUACAAACAAAUUUUAUGAGCAUAUCUUCCAGUGGAAGUCUACAAUGGCCAUAAAAGGGGAUAUAUAAGUGUACAAGUUGACGUUUCUCUUGAGUAGGUUUUCUGUACUGCACAGUUUUUGGAUGCAUUCUCUAUAUUAAAAUGAUGCCAUGGAGAAAGUGGUAUUAAUGUGAUGUUCACUUUUUUGCGGAGAUCCAAAUGAACUACAGACUACAGAGCAUGGAAUCAUUGCUGCUGGUUGGUUACAUGACAAGAGAACAGGUUAGUUUGUACUUUGUAAGGUCAUUCACUUGUAUGAAUGCUUUUAGAGUGCCAUGGUAUAGAGUGUUUCCCCCUUUAGAAAAACCCUAUUAACAAAAUCAUGAUGAAGGCAGUUUUUGUAUAAGUUUAUGUUACCUUUUACUCUCAAACUAUCACUCUAGAAAAACUGUCUUGACUUUUUCUUUCUGGUUUUGAUCAGUUUCCCUUUGAUUAGGUUCUUAUUAAUCUAGAAAAAUAUGAUUUUUAAGAUCUUGAUGGUUCUUCUGAAUUAUAUAAACCAAAUUUUGUGCCUUCAGGUGCUGCUUUCAACAAAUUUUGGGCUGGGUUACAUGUUGCUGACAAUUAUUGGUUUCAUUAUUGUGCAGUGAGUUCUCAUCUUAAAUUGAAUUAUGUAGAGCAAGAUAAAAAUAAAAAUAAAAAUAAAUUAAAAAAAGGGACAAUGAGGUUGUAAUAAAGCUACUGUCUUUUAUCAGACAGUUGCAGCCUACAUAUGUUGUUGGUUUUAGGAUAUUUUGCAUAGGAACUUGGAUAUCUUUAUGUAGCAUGACUUAUCAGAUUCUUGUGGCAUUACUUAUUAUUGAAAUAGCCAACCUAUUGACAGUAGCAAGCUGACCUUUUGUUGGAGUAGAAUAGCCAUUAUAGCACUUUCUACGAAAUCAAACAUGAUGUAAUCUUUCACAGCAAUAAUAACUAUGUUGAAAUUCAAUAUAUCAUUUAAAUUUUUAUGAUAUUUCCCAUGUCCAUCACAAUUUGAGUUCUUGCCAAAUUGCAGCUACUAAUGCUAAGGAGUUUAGAUGAGGUACUUAGGAUAACAAUAUUCAUGACUUAUUCACAAUAUUCUUUAUGGGCAAGAACACCUUCACUGUUCCAUCUUUGAAAUCUAUUUAUGUGUGGUAUUGCCUGGUAGAUCCAGGAAGGAUUCCUGGCAUUCUAUCAUCUCAAUUCACAAGCUCAAUAGCUGGCCUUACGUUGUGAUAAUACGUUUUGAGUAUUGAUGCACUUGUUUUAGAUAUUUUCCCCUAAUCUCUUUGAUAAAAAGGAUAAAAAAAAUAGAUUUUUCUAUGGGAAUUUUCAGUGGUCUUUAAACCACCAGAGUCAACUUCAAAUGGCAUUUUAUUUGAAUUACAGGCUAUGUAGCUCUAUCAUGGGUUCCUUUCCCUGUUCUGGAUAAGGCAUUUUGCAACUAAUCUUGGUGAUGUAACUAACCAAUCCAAGCAUAAGUAAAGCAUAGUUGAUGACAUCAAUAUCUUUUUGGAUAAUGAGUUGCAUCUUAUAAAUUCUUGCUCAAUUAUACCUGACAACAAGUUUGAAGAUUUUCAAGCACAAGCAAUACAUGCUGCUACUUACAUGUUAUGGUUGACAAAGGCUGUGGUGUUUCUCUUCAAUUAUCCAAUGUUGUAAGACGUUUCUUUUCUUAAGGUAUUAAUUGAAUACUUACGCCGCUGGUUUUGUGCAUCGGCAAAUUCCCAAGUUCAGGAGAUUGAACUCAAAAAGAAGCAAAAUGCUGGAAGCUUGAAGACCAUGCUAAUUGCUGCAUGAAGCUUGUCCUGAAAGAUCCUCACUCUAGUGCAGCUGCCUACCUGGAAGCAUCUAACCUGUGGUUUGAAUGAGAAUAGAUGAUAACUUUGAUGGAUAUCAGUGUCCAAAAGUUUUUGGUUGAGUUUCAUGUUGUCAAACUAUGAGUACUUUCAGUUAGUAUAGGAAAGUGCUGUGAAACAUAUGAAAUGUCGAUGUUAAGUUCUUACAAAGGGCAAUGUCUUCCUUGUUGAAUUAGCAUCUAUGUGAAUUAGAGCGGAUAGCAAUUAAGCAUAAAUGAAAGAUUGCAAGUUGAACUCA